This 1150-nucleotide ribosomal RNA is filed under the name uncultured bacterium. RNAcentral describes it as "bacterial SSU rRNA". It matches the Rfam family "Bacterial small subunit ribosomal RNA", at positions 39 to 1191 of the family's 1533-position model. The record is from RNAcentral.
GGGGCGGCCGCCACACCAUGUCAAAUCCUACUCUGCUAGUCCCAGCGUAUGCUUCUCUGGAAAGUUGCGACCCGGCGAGUAACACCCAUGUAACCUGCCUGGUAGCGGGGGAUUUCUAUUGAAAACGACCGCUAAUACCGCACAAUACUACAUGUUGCACGACAUUUGCUAAGGUUGAGCGAUUGCAUCACUACCAGAUGGACCUGCGUUGUAUUAGCUAGUUGGUGAGGUAACGGCUCACCAAGGCAACGAUACAUAGUCGACCUGAGAGGGUGAUCGGCCCCCCUGCGACUGAGACACGGCCCAGACUCCUACGGGAGGCAGCAGUAGGGAAUCUUCGGCAAUGGACGGAAGUCUGACCGAGCAACGCCGCGUGAGUGAAGAAGGUUUUCGGAUCGUAAAGCUCUGUUGUAAGAGAAGAACGAGUGUGAGAGUGGAAAGUUCACACUGUGACGGUAUCUUACCAUACGAUGACGGCUAACUACGUGCCAGCAGCCGCGGUAAUACGUAGGUCCCGAGCGUUGUCCGGAUUUAUUGGGCGUAAAGCGAGCGCAGGCGGUUAGAUAAGUCUGAAGUUAAAGGCUGUGGCUUAACCAUAGUACGCUUUGGAAACUGUUUAACUUGAGUGCAAGAGGGGAGAGUGGAAUUCCAUGUGUAGCGGUGAAAUGCGUAGAUAUAUGGAGGAACACCGGUGGCGAAAGCGGCUCUCUGGCUUGUAACUGACGCUGAGGCUCGAAAGCGUGGGGAGCAAACAGGAUUAGAUACCCUGGUAGUCCACGCCGUACACGAUGAGUGCUAGGUGUUAGACCCUUUCCGGGGUUUAGUGCCGCAGCUAACGCAUUAAGCACUCCGCCUGGGGAGUACGACCGCAAGGUUGAAACUCAAAGGAAUUGACGGGGGCCCGCACAAGCGGUGGAGCAUGUGGUUUAAUUCGAAGCAACGCGAAGAACUUACCAGGUCUUGACAUCCCUCUGACCGCUCUAGAGAUAGAGUUUUCCUUCGGACAGGGUGACAUUCCUGCAUGGUUGUCGUUUCUCUGUCGUGAGAUGUUGGGUAAGUCCCGCACGAGCGCACCCCUUUGUUAUUGCCUCAUUCGUUGGGAAUCUAGCGAAUUGCCGGUAAAAACGGAGAAGGGGGGAUGGGUCAAUCU